GACGAACGCUGGCGGCGUGCUUAACACAUGCAAGUCGAACGGAAAGGCCCUGCUUUUGUGGGGUGCUCGAGUGGCGAACGGGUGUGUAACACGUGAGUAACCUGCUCUUGACUUUGGGAUAACUUCAGGAAACUGGGGCUAAUACCGGAUAGGAGCUCCUGCUGCAGGGUGGGGGUUGGAAAGUUUCGGCGGUUGGGGAUGGACUCGCGGCUUAUCAGCUUGUUGGUGGGGUAGUGGCUUACCAAGGCUUUGACGGGUAGCCGGCCUGAGAGGGUGACCGGCCACAUUGGGACUGAGAUACGGCCCAGACUCCUACGGGAGGCAGCAGUGGGGAAUAUUGCACAAUGGGCGGAAGCCUGAUGCAGCAACGCCGCGUGCGGGAUGACGGCCUUCGGGUUGUAAACCGCUUUCGCCUGUGACGAAGCGUGAGUGACGGUAAUGGGUAAAGAAGCACCGGCUAACUACGUG
This 468-nucleotide ribosomal RNA is filed under the name uncultured bacterium. RNAcentral describes it as "partial 16S ribosomal RNA". It matches the Rfam family "Bacterial small subunit ribosomal RNA", at positions 28 to 507 of the family's 1533-position model. The record is from RNAcentral.